AUUGAACGCUGGCGGCAUGCCUUACACAUGCAAGUCGAACGGCAGCGGGGACUUCGGUCCGCCGGCGAGUGGCGAACGGGUGAGUAAUGUAUCGGAACGUACCAUUGAGUGGGGGAUAACGUAGCGAAAGUUACGCUAAUACCGCAUAUUCUCUCCGGAGGAAAGCAGGGGACCGCAAGGCCUUGCGCUCUUUGAGCGGCCGAUAUCGGAUUAGCUAGUUGGUGGGGUAAAAGCUCACCAAGGCGACGAUCUGUAGCGGGUCUGAGAGGAUGAUCCACCACACUGGAACUGAGACACGGUCCAGACUCCUACGGGAGGCAGCAGUGGGGAAUUUUGGACAAUGGGGGCAACCCUGAUCCAGCCAUGCCGCGUGAGUGAAGAAGGCCUUCGGGUUGUAAAGCUCUUUCGGCCGGGAAAGAAUCGCAUGGGUUAAUACCCUGUGUGGAUGAUGGUACCGGAAUAAGAAGCACCGGCUAACUACGUGCCAGCCGCCGCCGUAA
Molecule: ribosomal RNA, 500 nt
Filed under: uncultured bacterium
Lineage: Bacteria
Description: partial 16S ribosomal RNA
Rfam family: Bacterial small subunit ribosomal RNA
Source: RNAcentral